This 381-nucleotide ribosomal RNA is filed under the name Achnanthidium minutissimum. RNAcentral describes it as "partial small subunit ribosomal RNA". It matches the Rfam family "Eukaryotic small subunit ribosomal RNA", at positions 30 to 432 of the family's 1831-position model. The record is from RNAcentral. Lineage: Eukaryota; Bacillariophyta; Bacillariophyceae; Cocconeidales; Achnanthidiaceae.
GCUUGUCUCAAAGAUUAAGCCAUGCACGUCUAAGUAUAAAUAUUUCACUUUGAAACUGCGAAUGGCUCAUUAUAUCAGUUAUAGUUUAUUUGAUAGUCCCUUACUAUUUGGAUAACCGUAGUAAUUCUAGAGCUAAUACAUGCGUCAAUACCUUUCGGGGUAGUAUUUAUUAGAUUGAAACCAACCCCUUCGGGGUGAUGUGGUGAUUCAUAAUAAGCUUGCGGAUCGCAUUCGUGCGAUGGAUCAUUCAAGUUUCUGCCCUAUCAGCUUUCGAUGGUAGUGUAUUGGACUACCAUGGCAGUAACGGGUAACGAAGAAUUAGGGUUCGAUUUCGGAGAGGGAGCAUGAGAAACGGCUACCACAUCUAAGGAAGGCAGCAGG